Triticum aestivum (bread wheat) is the source of this 348-nucleotide long non-coding RNA. RefSeq lists it as uncharacterized. The transcript is spliced from 3 exons. The record is from RefSeq and is a predicted model, not a curated record. NCBI's taxonomy places the organism in Eukaryota, Viridiplantae, Streptophyta, Magnoliopsida, Poales, Poaceae.
GGUCCUUUGAUGUGAGCUGAUCUGUACUGGAAACCUUAACUGUGAGCUAACAUCUUCUUACGUUCCCUGUAAAGCUAGGAUAAGAAGUAUUUAUAUCUGUGGAACUGCAAAGAGUAUCUUGACCCGGCAUCUAGGAUAAUACUGGCAACGGAUGCUGAUCCUCCAGGGCAGGCUCUUGCUGAGGAACUUGCUCGACGUCUUGGUAAAGAAAGGUGUUGGAGGGUCAAAUGGCCAAAGAAGAAUGAGACAGAAUUUUACAAAGAUGCUAACGAGGUUUGUUAUGGCAUGCAUAGGCAACUUUGACUAAUAAAUAAUAUUGCUACCAUUCUUCUGUUUGUAUUUCAUGCC